GCCCAGUCAACAGGCCUCUUCCGUCCAACAGUGUUGACGUAUGCCAAAACGCACUGAAGUGUUGCAGUUUCCCUGAGAAUGAUACACAGCCAACAAACACCUGAUUUUGCUUCUGAAUUCCAUUAUUCUGUCAGCUUCAUCUUACAUGCUUAUAAUUCAUCAGCCCUACUGACGCCCCGAGCAUAAUCUGAACUCUACCCCUCCUCAAAGCAAGAACAAAGUAAUAAAAGCUGAAAGCCAUAAACACUUUUAUUUUGAGACCGUCUACCCGGGAGCCAGAUGCGUUUCUCUCCGAGUUGCUGAUUGAUAUUGAUGCUAUAAUUACAAUAUGGGACGUAGGUAUAUAAGAGACGAAAACACAAGGUGUCUGGAUCUUGCGAGUUUGGCUUGUUUCCCCGCAAACUGUUCAAGGUUUGUUUCCCGGCAAACUCUGCUGCUCUUUCCUUGCCUCCAUCUUUUUUUUCUCUCUUUCCUAACAGCUUCCCGUCUCUCCUCACCCUUUUGAAGUGGCUUUAGACUUGCGAGACUCUAGUAUGUGACAAACAGGCAGCGAUAUCGUUAGAUUCCUCUCCACAGAGGGCUGCCUCUCACAGAGAACUUUACAAGAAAAACUCUCUCAAAGCAACCUUCUCUGGAUGCGUGAUAGAUUCAUAUAAACCACUACAAUACUCCUCGAUACUUGAUCAAAUAAUGAACGCUGUGUUCUCCCUAUGCAGGAAACGUGGAUAUAAUUAGGACGAAGCUGGCACAACGCUAUAAUUUGGCUGGAGUUUGUUGAUGUACAGACUGCUUGGGUGACUCCUCGUAAUGAUUUCUGGCCCACCUCCAAUGAGAGCAGGCGAAUUUGGAUUCACAAUAAAGUAAGCUAUAAUAAGUGA
Long non-coding RNA from Megalobrama amblycephala (Wuchang bream), 878 nucleotides. RefSeq lists it as uncharacterized. Lineage: Eukaryota; Metazoa; Chordata; Actinopteri; Cypriniformes; Xenocyprididae. The record is from RefSeq and is a predicted model, not a curated record. The transcript is spliced from 2 exons.